GCGCGAUAUUAUGAAUCGAACUUUGGAUCUUUUUAAUCGAAAAUAUUUGACUGCAAGGAAACUUAAUGGAUGACCUAUCAGCCCAUCGCCCUGCGCUGACCAACGCUGACCGUCCCACCUUGGAGAGACACACACUGACAGUGUGUGUGUGCUGCAGUAUGGUGGAUGGAGGCACCCUCUGGGCAACAGCAGCGUUCAUAACCCUGGCUCCGUCCAUGUGAACUGACAGGCCAGAUCUAUCGGCCAAAGCACGAACCUUGGAGAUGGAAACAAGUCUGUGAUGGUUCUAUGUGAGGUCCUCGUCAAACAUGGCCUUCAGCAUGGCCCGCCUCAUUGCCGGCCCGGGCCGGGAAAACGCGUCGCUGCGGAGGUCCACCACCCGGAUGGUGGCUGCGCUGCCCGGCCCUCGGUACUUGGGUCUCC
This is a long non-coding RNA of Gasterosteus aculeatus aculeatus (three-spined stickleback), 423 nucleotides long. RefSeq lists it as uncharacterized. The record is from RefSeq and is a predicted model, not a curated record. Lineage: Eukaryota; Metazoa; Chordata; Actinopteri; Perciformes; Gasterosteidae.